GCGAUCAUUCCAUAACCAAUGCACCAGAUACCAUCAAAAUUCUACAGGUAAGCGUGCUUGGGCGAGAGCAGUACUAGGAUGGGUGACCCCUUGAGAAGUUUUCGUGUUGCACCCU
This is a non-coding RNA of Ilex paraguariensis (yerba mate), 115 nucleotides long. The record is from the annotation of a GenBank genome assembly. NCBI's taxonomy places the organism in Eukaryota, Viridiplantae, Streptophyta, Magnoliopsida, Aquifoliales, Aquifoliaceae.